Molecule: ribosomal RNA, 690 nt
Filed under: Micrococcus sp. YIM 78159
Lineage: Bacteria; Bacillati; Actinomycetota; Actinomycetes; Micrococcales; Micrococcaceae
Description: bacterial SSU rRNA
Rfam family: Bacterial small subunit ribosomal RNA
Source: RNAcentral
GAAGCCCAGCUUGCUGGGUGGAUUAGUGGCGAACGGGUGAGUAACACGUGAGUAACCUGCCCUUGACUCUGGGAUAAGCCUGGGAAACUGGGUCUAAUACCGGAUAGGAACGUCCACCGCAUGGUGGGUGUUGGAAAGAUUUAUCGGUCAUGGAUGGACUCGCGGCCUAUCAGCUUGUUGGUGAGGUAAUGGCUCACCAAGGCGACGACGGGUAGCCGGCCUGAGAGGGUGACCGGCCACACUGGGACUGAGACACGGCCCAGACUCCUACGGGAGGCAGCAGUGGGGAAUAUUGCACAAUGGGCGAAAGCCUGAUGCAGCGACGCCGCGUGAGGGAUGACGGCCUUCGGGUUGUAAACCUCUUUCAGUAGGGAAGAAGCGAAAGUGACGGUACCUGCAGAAGAAGCACCGGCUAACUACGUGCCAGCAGCCGCGGUAAUACGUAGGGUGCGAGCGUUAUCCGGAAUUAUUGGGCGUAAAGAGCUCGUAGGCGGUUUGUCGCGUCUGUCGUGAAAGUCCGGGGCUUAACCCCGGAUCUGCGGUGGGUACGGGCAGACUAGAGUGCAGUAGGGGAGACUGGAAUUCCUGGUGUAGCGGUGGAAUGCGCAGAUAUCAGGAGGAACACCGAUGGCGAAGGCAGGUCUCUGGGCUGUAACUGACGCUGAGGAGCGAAAGCAUGGGGAGCGAACA